UGGGGAAUAUUGGACAAUGGGCGAAAGCCUGAUCCAGCCAUGCCGCGUGUGUGAAGAAGGUCUUCGGAUUGUAAAGCACUUUAAGUUGGGAGGAAGGGCAGUAAGCGAAUACCUUGCUGUUUUGACGUUACCGACAGAAUAAGCACCGGCUAACUCUGUGCCAGCAGCCGCGGUAAUACAGAGGGUGCAAGCGUUAAUCGGAAUUACUGGGCGUAAAGCGCGCGUAGGUGGUUCGUUAAGUUGAAUGUGAAUGCCCCGGGCUCAACCUGGGAACUGCAUCCAAAACUGGCGAGCUAGAGUAGGGCAGAGGGUGGUGGAAUUUCCUGUGUAGCGGUGAAAUGCGUAGAUAUAGGAAGGAACACCAGUGGCGAAGGCGACCACCUGGGCUCAUACUGACACUGAGGUGCGAAAGCGUGGGGAGCAAACAGG
Molecule: ribosomal RNA, 429 nt
Filed under: Pseudomonadota bacterium
Lineage: Bacteria; Pseudomonadati; Pseudomonadota
Description: Proteobacteria bacterium partial 16S ribosomal RNA
Rfam family: Bacterial small subunit ribosomal RNA
Source: RNAcentral